This 564-nucleotide ribosomal RNA is filed under the name Serrata tuii. Its description in RNAcentral is "partial 12S ribosomal RNA". Lineage: Eukaryota; Metazoa; Mollusca; Gastropoda; Neogastropoda; Marginellidae. The record is from RNAcentral.
GAGACCAAAGGAUUAAGUUAUAUUUGUGCUGGUUAAAAGGUAGUUAGGUUAAUAGAUUAUGUAGUUACUAUAGUUUUUAUAUGGCGGUAAAAUGCAUAUAAGGUGGAUUUAUAUCGGUAGUUUAGGAUUAUGCUGAGGUUACUAGAAUUUUGGUAGAAACUAGGAUUAGAUACCCUAUUAUUCUUUAUUUUAAAUAGUAUAUUACCUGAGUAGUACAGACAAGUAGUUUAAAAUUCAAAGGACUUGGCGGUGUUUAUAGACUUUUUAGGGGAAUCUGUCUCGUAAUCGAUGUUCCGCGUUAUACCUAAUUUCUUAUUGUAGUACAGUUUGUAUACCAUUGUCGGCAGGCAACUUUUGAGAAUUAAGAAGCUGGCUUAGUAAAAUUUUUUUAGUAUGUCAGAUCAAGGUGCAGCUGAUUGAGAAGUGAGGAUGGAUUACAAUUAUUAAUUUAUAAUUACGGAUUCUAAUUUAAUGAAAUUUAUAGUUGAAGGAGGACUUAAAAGUAAAGUGUUGGGUUGUAUAGUUGAUUUAUAUAGGCAUGUUGAAUUUAGCUCUUAAAUGUGC